ACCAUUGUAUUGCAAAACAAUGGGAGUUUUAUAUGAGAUCAUUGCUUACGUUUAUCAAUCCCUUUAAGCUCUAUAAAUUGCUGUUCAGCUAUCAUAUAUUUCCCAAGUUGAAUUACACCAUUAAUUACAUAUUUUACCCAGAAAAUCAUAAGCUUUUCUUCAUUUUGCCUCUCCUCCUUCACGACCACCGCGGCACCGCCGCUACCGCCACCACCUGCUUCCGGCGAAUCUUCCCGUCGCCUCCCAGAACCCAGCCCCGGCGUCAUCCAUUCCGUCGCCGGAAUCCAACUUAGCUCUGCAUCAUCGUGUGGUUGUUGCGCGUAUGCCCCUGCUUGGCUGCUUCUCUACUUAUUUUCCUCCCUCUUUUUGGUUACUGUAAAAUAUGGGAUGUGGGCCUUUAUUUCAUAGUGGAGUAACUAUUAUUAUGAUGGGCUUUUAAAAGGAAAAGCAUCAACGAGCUAAUAUGAUUUAUGAGGGAAUUUGCACCGUGAUGAUAUUUAAGGAUUAAGCCGAUUGGUUAAUCGAAAGAGGUUCGGUUAAGGAGCUAGAGUUGCUCAAGAGAAAAGUUAUUACUGUAGUUGGUAGUUUAUUAUGGAGAUAUCAAGAUGAGAAAUAUUUAUUAUGGAAAUCUUGUUAUUGAGGUUGUUAUAAGAAUAUUGAUUUAUAAUUAUUUUUGGGAAAGUUGUAUUAUUUCUGAAAUGUUAUUAAGGAUUAUUUUAUUUGUGGGCCCAUACCCACAGGUCCCAGAAUUAAUUAAGCUUAAUUUCGCUGCUAAUGAUGAGUUAUGUAAGGUUUAUUACCGAUAAUUAAGGUACCGAAAAGUCG
This is a long non-coding RNA of Spinacia oleracea (spinach), 825 nucleotides long. RefSeq lists it as uncharacterized. The record is from RefSeq and is a predicted model, not a curated record. The transcript has 3 exons. NCBI's taxonomy places the organism in Eukaryota, Viridiplantae, Streptophyta, Magnoliopsida, Caryophyllales, Amaranthaceae.